AACAUGAAGCAGACAUGCUUGAUGAAGAUGCCAUGAAGAGGGAAACAGGAAGACGGAGUUAUCUGAGAAAAGGUCUGCAUUAGGGAGAAAAUGGAGCCAUGUCUUUUCAAGAACCAGGGAACCAGACAGAUUAUUCUUCUAGCUCUGGCAUUUGAUACCUACAGCAGAAGUAUGAAGUUGCUACAGAUAAACAAGGGAUCUGCUAGCCAUGUUGGUGAAUUCAGAAAAUGAGUUCUGCUUGAAAAAAAACUCAGUUUGAAAGAUAAUUUAAAUGAGAGAGAUAAGCCACUGAAUGGAAGACAAACUCAAACAGCAUGGGAAAAGAAAAACAAUGGAAAGCAACAGAGACACCAUCUCACUCUAUCACCCAGGCUGGAGUGCAGUGGCGUGAUCAUAGUUCACUGUCGCCUCAAAUUCCUGGGCUCAA
RNAcentral lists this long non-coding RNA (427 nucleotides) under Homo sapiens (human). RNAcentral describes it as "HSALNT0071837". Lineage: Eukaryota; Metazoa; Chordata; Mammalia; Primates; Hominidae. The record is from RNAcentral.